RNAcentral lists this ribosomal RNA (207 nucleotides) under uncultured bacterium. Its description in RNAcentral is "partial 16S ribosomal RNA". It matches the Rfam family "Bacterial small subunit ribosomal RNA", at positions 568 to 774 of the family's 1533-position model. The record is from RNAcentral.
CAUGCAGGCGGCCUCGCGCGUUUCGCGUGACAGCGGAUGGCUUAACUGUCCGAGGGUGCGAAAGACGGCGCGGCUGGAGGGCCAGAGAGGGACACGGAAUUCCGGGUGGAGUGGUGAAAUGCGUAGAGAUCCGGAGGAACACCGAAGGCGAAGGCAGUGUCCUGGCUGGUACCUGACGCUGAGGUGCGAAAGCCAGGGGAGCGAACG